CCGCUGUCCUGUCCCCAUGGGCUUCUCGGCAGCCCUGGCCGUUUAUCUCAGCACCUGGAAAUGUAACAACAUUUGAACUGUCCUGUCUGACGGAGGCGGGUGUUGACCUUACAAUGGGGGUCAGGCCCGCGGCAGCGCUGUCUGGCGUGUCCUCGAGAUAUAAUCAUUAUGAAGACCUGGAUGACACUGCCCGGGAAUGAGAUGGAGCUGCUGUGCCUCAGAGAGUUGGCGAUGGACUUGGGGACCGUGGCUGAGAUGAGGCAGAGGUCCGAGAAUGACAGACUCCUCAGAAAGAAGUACAUGGGGGUGUGGAGGUGCCAGUCCAGGGUCGUGAUGAUGCAGAUGAGCCCAUUCCCCAGCAGGGCACACAGGUAGACCAGGGAGAAGAGCAGCGGGUGCAAGAAGCCCAUGGUCCCCUGGGUGGGGAACCCCAGGAGGAUGAAUUCUGUCACUGCCGUGAGAUUGGUCACCUCUGGAGACAUCAACUGUAUAAAUAAAAA
This is a long non-coding RNA of Talpa occidentalis (Iberian mole), 500 nucleotides long. RefSeq lists it as uncharacterized. The transcript has 3 exons. Lineage: Eukaryota; Metazoa; Chordata; Mammalia; Eulipotyphla; Talpidae. The record is from RefSeq and is a predicted model, not a curated record.